Gadus chalcogrammus (walleye pollock) is the source of this 6712-nucleotide RNA transcript. It is a transcript of the gene named mitochondrial inner membrane protein MPV17, with no coding region annotated. The transcript has 2 exons. Lineage: Eukaryota; Metazoa; Chordata; Actinopteri; Gadiformes; Gadidae. The record is from RefSeq and is a predicted model, not a curated record.
CAAGAGUCGGCCCCGGCUCGCACUGUGAAGCCAGCUCUCUUGAAUGUUAGAUCACUUGCAAAUAAGUCAUUUCUGAUAAAUGAUCUUAUCUCCACACAUGACCUUGAUUUCCUGAUAUUAACUGAAACAUGGUUAAAUGAAGCAAAUAGUGCUGUCACCCUCAUUGAGUCCGCUCCUCCUAACUACGAUUUUCUGUCGUCUUUUAGAGAAUCAAAAAAAAGGGGAGGUUUAGCCACAAUAUUCAAAACUUUGUUUCAAUGUAAACAGUUAUGUCAUGGUAAAUUUUCAUCAUUGUGAGUAUAUGUGUGUCCUAAUUAAGGGUUCCCCUCGGAUUCUUACGGUGACAAUCUAUAGACCCCCCAAACAGUCUGAAAGAGCUUUUAUAGAUGAAUUUAGUGAUCUCCUGUCAAUCAUAUGUGUUGAAUUUGACUGUCUAAUCAUCUCAGGAGAUUUCAAUUUGCAUAUGGACAAAUCAGACAACAUAUACACCAAAGAUUUCCUUGCUCUAUUGGACACCUUCAGUCUUACUCAGCAUGUCCAAGGCCCCACGCACUCCCAUGGUCACACUCUUGACCUUAUCAUCACUAAGGGUCUCAAUGUCUCAAUCAAAGAUUUAGCCCUAUCUGACCAUUUCUGUUUAUUUUCUGAUAUCUCUAUGUCCCCCUGUAUUCAGAGUAGCUGCAUAAUGACUGGAAGGAGGAUCAUAAAUGAAAACACAGCAGCUCUCUUUGAACAAGCUCUCAUACAAACUCCAGUUUUCCCUACCUCUGGUGAUUCUGUGAAUGAUCUAUUGGAACUUUUUAAUACAAAAGUGGAAUCCAUCAUGAAUAAUGUUGCUCCUCUUAAACUUAAGUCAAUUACCAGCAAACAGAAAGCCCCAUGGUUAAAUAGUCCAACCGUUAAACUCAUGAGAAGAGAGUGUAGGAAAAGUGAAAGAAAAUGGAGGAAAAAUAAACUUCAAGUUAACCUACAGAUCCAUAAAGAGAAUCUCCGCAAAUACAAUUUUGAGGUAUGUAAGGCCAGGCAAUCUUAUUUCUCAGAUCUAAUAAACAACAUAAAUAAUACCCGUACAUUAUUCCUGAUGGUUGGAAAGCUAACAGAUCCUCCCUCCAAACUGCCCUCAGAAAUGCUCUCGAGCAAAUCAUGUGAUGAAUUUGCCUCAUUUUUUAAAAACAAAAUGAGAACAUCAGAGCAAACAUUGGUUCUCAAUUACAGUCUGCUCAUUGUCCAGAACUAGCCAUCCUAAGGGAAAACAAUCCCCUCAUGUCAGAGUUCAGUCUGAUGGAUACUAAUACACUCGAAAAAACCUUAAAAAGCCUCAACUCCUCCACCUGCAGUCUAGACACAAUCCCUACAAACUUUUUUAAAAAUAUUUUUCAUCUAUUAUCGGACAGUGUACUCCAAAUUGUGAACUUGUCACUUCAGUCAGGAAUUUUCCCAGAAUCCCUGAAAAUGGCUGUUGUAAAGCCCCUGCUCAAGAAGAAAAGCCUCGACCCAUCGGUAUUAAAUAACUACCGACCCGUAUCCAACUUGCCCUUUAUUGGGAAACUUAUUGAGAAAGUGGUUUUUAGUUGAACGAUUUUUUAACAGCAAAUUGCUGCCUUGAUCCGUUUCAGUCAGGCUUCCGGGCAAAUCAUAGUACUGAAACAGCUCUUAUAAAGGUCCUGAAUGACAUACGUCUCAACUCAGACUCAGACGCUUGUAUUACUGGACCUCAGUGCAGCAUUUGAUACAAUUGAUCAUAGCAUACUCCUACACCAAUUAGAACAUGGGGUUGGACUUUCAGGCAGAGUAAUCAACUGGCUGAAGUCCUAUCUGCAGGAGAGAACUUUCUUUGUUGCCCUUGGUAACUACACCUCAGCUCUAGCACCCUUGACGUCAGGUGUCCCACAAGGGUCAAUCCUGGGGCCACUUCUUUUUAAUCUCUACAUGCUCCCACUGGGUCAGAUUAUAAAGAACACUCAGGUUUCAUACCACAGCUACGCAGACGACACACAACUUUAUUUAGCCCUGUCACCCACUGAUAAGGAUCCCCUUGGCUCACUAUGUGACUGCCUAGACCAAAUAAAUAGUUGGUUGUCACAAAACUUUUUACAACUGAACAAAGAGAAGACCGAAGUAAUUUUAUUUGGGAGGAAGGAUGGAAAAGACAAAAUGGCUACACUUUUUAGGGCAAAGGGGUUUGAAGUUAGGACUAAGGUCAGAAACCUUGGAGUCAUAAUCGAUAGCGACCUCAACUUUGACAAGCAUUUGAGAGCUGUAACUAGGACAUCUUUUUAUCACCUGAAAAAUAUUGCCAAGCUGAGAGACCUUAUGUCCCAGUCUGACCUGGAAAAGCUUGUCCAUGCUUUUACUUCAAGCCUUCUAGACUACUGCAACGGUCUCUUCACAGGACUCCCAAAAAAGACCAUUAAACAACUUCAAUUAGUUCAAAAUGCUGCAGCACGAGUGUUAACAAAGACCAGAAAAAGAGAGCAUAUCACCCCUAUACUGAAGUCCUUGCAUUGGCUGCCAGUUUAUUUUAGAAUACAUUUUAAAGUACUGCUACUGGUUUUUAAAGCAUUACAUGGGAUGGGGCCAACAUAUAUAUCUGACAUGUUUACAUUUUACAUCCCCCUCAGGCCUCUCAGGCCACAGAAAAGCCAGGUAUUAUGCAUACCAUAUACUCGCACCAAACAGGGUGAAGCUGCUUUCAGCUACCAUGCAGUCCAGAUUUGGAACAAACUCCCUGAUCACGUUAAGAAUGCUCCAACCAUUGCCAAUUAUAAAACGCAAUUGAAGACCACCCUCUUCUCCAUGGCAUUUUCCUGUUUUUAAUUUAUUUUAUUCAUUAUUUUAAUCUCUCCUUUUUAUCCUUUUAUUACUACUAUUGCGAUAUGCUGUCUACUUGUACUAUUACUGUGAUAUGUUUUAUACGUGUGAUAUGUUUCUUACUUGUGUACUUCAAUUUGAGGUAAUGCCUCAGCUGUGUAAAGCACAUUGUGUCUACCUGGAGUAUGAAAUGCGCUAUAUAAAUAAAUUGCCUUGCCAUGCCUUGCCUUGCCUUGGUAGGCAUAUGACUAAGCCAGCUGACGGGCCUGCGUUGCAGUUCCAGAUGCACUUUCCUUAAUCAAACUAGCCUUUGAUAAUGUUCUGGCCCGCCACCUACUGGCUGGAAAAAAAAUUGGCCCAAGGCCAAUCUUGGUUGCUGACCCCUGGCUUAGUACCAAUACCCAACCAUGCAGCCCCUGUACUAUAAUGUAAAAGAGUUGUUCUGAACCUGACAUACAUAAAGGGAUGUCUUUAUGUCAAGAAGGUCUUUGUGCUUAAUACAUGAUGGUAACAGUCCUAUACACGUUCCAGUGGCGCAAAUAAAGUACAGUUAUUAUACGUGUAUACUAAAACCCCACUAGAUAAGAUACACUUAUAACCCUUAGAGGGACAUUUGUCUUGGACUCCAAUGCAGUCACAAAUAGCUGCUUUGCAUAAAAUAAAUAACAAUACAAAUGCAGUCAAUGCAUACAUAUAGGACAAGGGCCACAUAUAUCAUACAACAUACAAGAAACAGUGCAAUUCUCUCACACACACACACACACACACACACACACACACACACACACACACACACACACACACACACACACACACACACACACACUGUAUUGCACCAUGGGUCAUGAUCAGUACUAUUGCAAAAAAAAAUUGGCCCUGGGGGCAUUUAGGAUCUUCAUUGAGGUGGGCACAAAUUAAUUCUUAAAGUGGUUCAGGCUGCAAGUGGGGACUCUGUAGCGUCUACCUGAUGGUAAAAACUGGUAUUCUGUGUGCAGAACAUGUGUCUGAUCAGAUAACAUUUUCUCAGCUGGUCUGAGCACAGUCUGCUCGUAUGUGGACUGCAAGGGGAGGUUUUCAGACCUCCCCAUCACCUUCAUAGCGGAUUGAAGCAGGUGCCCAAUUUUUGAUUUCGGCUGGACAGGAAGGUUACCGUACCAAGCCGAAACACCCUGAGUCUACUCAGGAAGUACAGUCUUUGCUGGAGACGAGAACACAGGUAAUCAACAUGAGCCUUCCAACUGAAAAGGUUAUCAAGAUGGAUGCCGAGAUACCUGUAGGAGUUGACUUGGUUGAUUUUCUUUCCCCCAUGGAUAUACACAGUGGAGUAUGAUCCCCUAUUGAUUUCGGGCCCAGCACCAUUUCCUCUGUCUUCUUUACGUUAAUGGUGAGGUGAUUCUCAUCACACCACUUAACAAAACUCUGUAUUUCAGAAAAAUAUGGUGAGGGGACAGUGUGCUGAUACUGAAGGCUCAGGAUGGCAGUGUCGUCUGAGAACUUAAAAAUAAAAUAAUCUGGGUGGCUGCGGAUACAAUAAUUUGUUUACAAAGUAAAAAGAUGUGGUGAGCUAACACAGCCUUGGGGUGCACCAGUGCUGAUCCUUCAGAGAGUCCGAUAGCAUUUUAGAGUUCCUGGAGGUAAAAUUCUGUUCAAUAAUGUCCUUGUGUUUUCUCCUUGCUUCCCUCAACAUGUGAUUAAGUUCCUGUGGGGUACGGUAUAAACCAUAUAGAGAGUACGCCUGGUGAAUUUGCGCUACGGUAUGGAUUUUGAUGUUACGGUGUGACUGGUGUGACCGGUAGAUGAGCGCUUUCUUUUCCUUUGUUUUAUAUUCACUUAAAGGUCCCAUGGCAUGACACCAGGUGUGGUGAGAUUAGCCGUUACAAGCCGUUUUGGAAAUCUGCCCCUUAUGACAUCACAGGUGGGCGUGUCCACCUAGAUGUGUGAGGAUAGAUCAGUCUACCAGCCUACCCAGUGGACUGUAUCAAAGGUUGCUCCUCUAUCCGUCACACAAGUUCCAUCCCCUCAAUUCCUUCUCCACAAUGGCCGAGAUAACCCCACUAAGAGUUUCUAUCGUAGUACCAGACAGACGCCCGAGAACCCGACGCAGUCUUUAAUUCAUAAUAUCUUUUACAUUUUUUAUCAACCAAAAUAUCCUUAAAAUUCUUACUUAUAUUUCAGUCAGUGUCUCGACUCUUCAUACAGCUAUGGGCAUGUGUCAAACAAAGUAUGCAAUCUUAAAUAAAAUAACGUGAAAUAAAUAAUUAAUACGUUUACUGUCAUGUAUUCAAUCCUGAAAAAUACUAAACAAAAGAACAAAUAUACUACACCAGGUGUUCUCAAAUAGAGGUCCCUAGUGUAAUUGCAAGGGGAUCAUGAAAUAAAAAAGUGUAAUGGACGUACUCAGUACCACAUGGUUUCCAGUAGGGAUGCACCGAAAUGAAAGUUCUUGGCCGAAACCGAAAACCGAAAAUGAGGAAACCAAGGCCGAAAACCGAAACACAGAAAGAAAUUAUUGUGACAAUUAUUAGUACCAUUUUGGGUUGCCGCGGUAUACGGUAUUACCGUGUUACCGGCGUUGGCAGUUUGGCAGUUUGUCUUUGCACUGUUUUAUUGUUGAUACGUUUUUUCAUAAAAAAAUAAAUAAAUACAAACCUAAUAGAUAAAGCGUUGGAACGCACAAGACCGGUAACCAUAGCAACGCCGGUAAACAAACCCCUCAAAGCCCAAUCCCUACGAGAGCUCCCCGCGUAGGGAUUGGCCAUCCGGAGGUGCACAGAGCUUUUGGCCGUGAUAUUAUCUAUAAAAUUAUAUUCUAUUAUAUAUAGAACGUUAUAAGACGUUGUCACCGAGAAUUGGUGCGCUGCCAGACGCUGUCACCGAGUGUGAGAGGAGAGUUGACGGAGAAGAUGGCGGUUGACCUAGUUUCAAAUACCGUUUAUACUCGUAAUACCGGUGUUGACACGAGUGUAUUACUCGGUGUGAAAAUGUCCACACCGAGGCAACCCUAGUACCAUUGCGUUUAUGGCUAUGACUGUGUACUAACUUCAUUAAAAUCAAGACAUUGCAAUUUUUGCAAAUCGCUAUACGUGGGUCUUUCUCAGAAACAUUGAAAAACGUCCACACCGCAGACAUAUUGGCGCUUAUCCAGACAUGUGUGUGCUGGCCGCGCUUUUUGUUUGCAUCAUCACAAAUGUCAUCACAAAUUUCUGUUUCGGCCGUGUUUCGGUGAUAAAAGAAAAUGCGCUUUUGGGCAAUUUUCGGCCGAAAAAUGUUGGUGGCCGAAAAUUCGGUGCAUCCCUAGUUUCCAGUAACUUUACAUAUAAUAGAGGGGGUGGGGGUUCCUGAGGACCUCAACAUAUGCAAGGGUUAGAGUAUCCAAAAAAAGGAUAGGAACCACUGUGUACUAAACUAAUGAACAAAAGAACCGAACAUAUAAUCUGUGCAAAGUAGAGCAGCACUAAACAGCAAUGUCGACGUGAUGCGCUAUGCAUAGAGAAUACAAUUUGCAACAUUUUGCAACAAAUGAUUCUAAAUCUGCCCAUUAAUGUACACUCAGAAUUUUGCGGUUUUCACUGCCGUUGUCAAAUUUGCUGAACAAAAUGUUAAACUUCAAUAGUUGUUCAUAGUCAACUUAUUACAUUUUUUGACUUUUGACAUGCUAGACCCCUGAUGUUCGUAGGCUCCUGAUGGUCGUGGGCCCCUGAUGGUCGUGGGCCCCUGAUGGUCGUGGGCCCCUGAUGGUCGUGGGCCCCUGAUGGUCCUGGGCCCCUGAUGGUCCUGGGCCCCUGAUGGUCCUGGGCCCCGGGGCUUCAGCCCAGGUUCAUUGGUCGGUGCCGGUGAUGUCAUUUCCCAGCAGCUGAUUGAGAGAAGAGGGUUGGCCAAUCACAGCGGGCGGCGGACGGUC